CUUUUCCCAUCACUUGGCGUCCGUCGUCCGUCGUCCGUCGUCGUCGUCGUCCGUCGUUAACUUUUACAAAAAUCUUCUCCUCUGAAACUACUGGGCUAAUUUCAACCAAACUUGGUUACAAUCAUCAUUGGGGUUUCUAGUUUAAAAAUUGUGUUUGGUGACCCCGCCAACCAACCAAGAUGGCCGCCAUGGCUAAAAAUAGAACAUGGGGGUAAAAUGCAGUUUUUGGCUUAUAACUCAAAAACCAAAGCAUUUAGAGCAAAUCUGACAUGGGGUAAAAUUGUUUAUCAGGUCAAGAUCUAACUGCCCUGAAAUUUUCAGAUGAAUCGGACAACCCGUUGUUAGGUUGCUGCCCUGAAUUGGUAAUUUUAAGGAAAUUUUUGCUAUUUUUGGUUAUUUUCUUGAAUAUUAUUAUAGAUAGAGAUAAACUGUAAAUAGAAAAAAUGUUUAGCAAAGUAAGAUUUACAAAUAAGUCAACAGGUCCAAAAUGGUCAGUUGACCCCUUUAGGAGUUAUUGUCCUUUAUAGUCAAUUUUUAACCAUUUUUUUCGUAAAUCUUAGUUAUAUUUUACAAAAAUCUUCUCCUCUGAAACUACUGGGCCAAAUAAAAGCAAACUUGGCCACAAUCAUCAUUGGGGUAUCUAGUUUAAAAAAUGUGUCCAGUGACCCAGCCAACCAACCAAGAUGGCCGCCAUGGCUAAAAAUAGAACAUAGGGGUAAAAUGCAGUUUUGGGCUUAUAACUUAAAAACCAAAGCAUUUAGAGCAAAUCUGACAGUGGAAAAAAUUGUUUAUCAAGUCCAGAUCUAUCUGCUCUAAAAUUUUCAGAUGAAUUGGACAACUGGUUGUUAGGUUGCUGCCCCUGAAUUGGUAAUUUUAAGGAAAUUUUGCUGUUUUUUGUUAUUAUCUUGAAUACUAUUAUAGAUAGAGAUAAUCUGUAAACAGCAAUAAUGUUCAGAAAAGUAAGAUUUACAAAUAAGUCAACGUGACUGAAAUGGUCAAUUGACCCCUAAGGAGUUAUUGUCCUUUAUAGUCAAUUUUUUAAAAUUUUCAUAAAAUUUGUAAAUUUUUACUAACAUUUUCCACUGAAACUACUUGGCCAAGUUCAUUAUAGAUAAAGAUAAUUGUAAGCAGCAAGAAUGUUCAGUAAAGUAAGAUGUACAAACACUUCACCAUCACUAAAACACAAUUUUUCAUGAAUCUAUCUGCGUCCUUUGUUUAAUAUUCACAUAUACCAAGGUGAGCGACACAGGCUCUUUAGAGCCUCUAGUUUUUUUUAAAAAACAA
RNAcentral lists this long non-coding RNA (1284 nucleotides) under Mytilus galloprovincialis (Mediterranean mussel). The record is from RNAcentral. Lineage: Eukaryota; Metazoa; Mollusca; Bivalvia; Mytilida; Mytilidae.